RNAcentral lists this ribosomal RNA (560 nucleotides) under uncultured eukaryote. RNAcentral describes it as "eukaryotic LSU rRNA". The stretch from base 167 to 320 matches the Rfam family "5.8S ribosomal RNA". The record is from RNAcentral.
UAAAAGUCGUAACAAGGUUUCCGUAGGUGAACCUGCGGAAGGAUCAUUACACAAAUCGAUGCAACUCAACCAAGCCUUUAGUUGGAGAGCAGCGCCUCGGUGCAGCUCCCCAGCAACACAAAACUAAAACCAAAAGGAGCCUAACUAAGCUCAAACACUAAAACCAAAUUCUCAACGAUGGAUGUCUUGGUUCCCAUAACGAUGAAGAACGCAGCGAAGUGCGAUAAGCAGUGCGAAUUGCAGAACCGUGAGUCAUCAGAUUUUUGAACGCAACUGGCACCGCACGGCCUUCGGCCGUCGGUACGCCUGGUCCAGUGUUCCGUUAUCUCAUGAACAAAAUCUUAAUGCGAGUGAUGCCCUUCUCUCGUCAAGAACGAAAGCACUCUGUGCUCUGCGAGCAGCCUUCGGGUUGCACUCAAUGCAGCAGUCACAUUGCUUACAGUGUGAACUCAUUGAGAGUGGACGCAGCGCGGCAACAGCUGCAAGUGCUUAGUCAUUUCAACUUAACAAUAGUAUCUGGGCUCAGGUGGGACUACCCGCUGAACUUAAGCAUAUCAAUA